RNAcentral lists this ribosomal RNA (402 nucleotides) under uncultured bacterium. Its description in RNAcentral is "bacterial SSU rRNA". It matches the Rfam family "Bacterial small subunit ribosomal RNA", at positions 29 to 417 of the family's 1533-position model. The record is from RNAcentral.
AACGAACGCUGGCGGCGUGGCUAAGGCAUGCAAGUCGAACGGAUUCCCGCAAGGGAAUCAGUGGCGGACGGGUGAGGAAUACAUGGAUAACGUACCCCGGACACAGGGAUAGCGGCGGUAACCGCAAGGUUACCUAGCGAAAGUGCCGGUAAUACCUGAUGACCCCACGGAGUCGCAUGGCUCUGUGGGCAAAGCUCCGACGGUCCGGGAGCGGUUCAUGGCCUAUCAGCUAGUUGGCGGGGUAACGGCCCACCAAGGCGGCGACGGGUAUCGGGCGUGAGAGCGCGACCCGACACAUCGGAACUGAGACACUGUCCGGACACCUACGGGUGGCUGCAGCAACGAAUAUUCCGCAAUGGACGCAAGUCUGACGGAGCGACGCCGCGUGUGGGAAGAAGUCCU